Molecule: unclassified non-coding RNA, 282 nt
Filed under: uncultured fungus
Lineage: Eukaryota; Fungi
Description: partial contains 5.8S ribosomal RNA and internal transcribed spacer 2
Rfam family: 5.8S ribosomal RNA (bases 1-133)
Source: RNAcentral
UGGUUCUAGCAUCGAUGAAGAACGCAGCGAAAUGCGAUAAGUAAUGUGAAUUGCAGAAUUUUGUGAAUCAUCGAAUUUUUGAACGCACAUUGCACCUUUUGGUAUUCCGAAAGGUAUGCCUAUUCGAGCGUCAUUUCACCAAUCAAACAUCUGUUUGGCUUUGAGUUAAAUCGAAAGGUUAACUUCAAAAAGAAUUAGUUUUGGUACAAUGAUCUGUAUUAUAAAACUAUUAUUCUAUUAUUUUAAAUGGUUGACCUCGAAUUAGGUAGGAUUACCCGCUGA